GGCCAUGGGCCUAAGUGGGUUCUCAACCCAACUUUGAUAGAAGCAAAGUUGAUUUUGAUCGCUGUCACAUGCUUAGGGCAGAGGGUUUUUUCUAUUAGAUCUGAACUUGGAAGGAGGGGCUCUAGAAUCCCCCUUCCAUCCCGGCAGUGGGCUUCAAGUAGUCUCACCAGAGACCAUGCUCUUGACCUGGCACCUUGGUCCUGGAUUCACGUGAUGAUUCGCGCUACUGUUUUGGUCAUGUCCUGGUGUAUCACCCCUAUUAUUUACUUAAUAUUUUUUCCUCUGAAUCAGUUCAUUUUUAAAGUUUAAGAAAUAUGCUUUAAAAAGAAGUGCUCAGGGUAAAGGCUGAAGUCCCUCCGAAGGCCCCAGGCACCUCCCUGACUGCACCUCCUGCCCCUCCCCACUCGCCUGGUGCAUCGCGCAGCCAGCAGCCACGCCAGCUCUCUGCAGGACGCCCCAGCCUUCCGACCUCUCAACUUCUUGGUUCCUCUCCGCGCACUCCCACCCUCUGAUACUCACUUGGCUCACUCGCUCUCCUCCUCCCGUUUUCGCCAAAGCUCUGGUCAUCGGCUGACACGCAUGUUACACUUAGGGGUCGAUUGCUCGUCCCCAGGCUGUGAGCUGAGGGAGGGGUGAGAGCCCUGUAUGUUCUGCUCACUGCAGGACACCCAGCGCCUGCAACAGUAGCUGGCACACAGUAGGUGCUCAGCUAAUGGAGCCUACACACCAGCUGGAGAGUCGGUGAUUAAACCACCAAGCACACAGGGGACGGGCGAGCAAAGAGCCUGGGAAGGAGACAGGCUCAAGAGAGGAGGAAAGAGCAGCCGGAGAGACGGACGGAGAGAAUAUACCUUUUUCGCCCCCUGCUCCUCUUCCACGCCAUCGCCAAUCACGAUGUAGACGGCUUUUCUGCCGAAUCUCUGCAUUAUCCUCUCAAAGCAGCUCUCCUUCCCUGCACACACGGACGAAGGAAAGACACUCGGUGUUGUACAUCUCCUUCACUCGCCGGUAGCGGAAGGCCAGCUUCCUCAUCCAGUCCACGCCGCCGUGCACGCCAGAGCCCAGGCACAAGUUGGCCCCCGGGGCCGAACUGUGGAAGCCAUCAGCGGAGAAGUUGUAGGUGCUGGGGAGACGGGAGAGGGCAGGGGGUGGGAGAAGAGACAGUGUUAAUGUCGGGGAGGUGGGAGCUCU
Non-coding RNA from Delphinapterus leucas (beluga whale), 1191 nucleotides. The record is from RefSeq and is a predicted model, not a curated record. Lineage: Eukaryota; Metazoa; Chordata; Mammalia; Artiodactyla; Monodontidae.